AAACUCAACUCUCAGAAGUAAGAAUCAGAUGAGGGAAGGUGAAGAUUAUUACAGGCACAAAGAACAGAAGUGCAAAGAGUUGGAGAAAGAUCAUUAAUCGUUCUGGGAAUCAGAAGCGUCCUGUGAUACGCAAAAUGAGGAGGGCAAAUUUCUCAAAACGGAAUUGCUGGAUCAAAGGAGAUGUACACAUAGAAGACUUUUGUUAUGUCCUGCUUCAUUUCCCUCCUGGAAGAUGCAUCAACCUCUACGCCCACCAGCAGCCAAGUGCUAAUUUUUGAAAGUACACUGUAAUGCAUCCAAUGUAGACAAUGGUGUGGGUGAAUUUAAAGCUGCUUUUUAGUAAAUUCACAAGGAAAUAUCUGAGUCGGUUAAAAAGAAGUUCCUCUUUUCCGACUACAUUUCCAGUCAUAGGAACAAUGAGGUCUCUGGAACAUUCCAAUAGACCAAAUUUGGAAAAGAAAGCCAUUACAUUGUGGAAAAUUUAAAGGCUAAGACAUUCCAAAGACAAAUGAUGAAUCGAAAACAGUAUCGACAAAAUUUAACUUCAGUUUAUAGCCGACAAACUGCUACAAUUUUGCACAUGGGUGCACAUGUGGAAGCUUUUCCAUAAGAGACAGCAGCCACCACAAAUAUUUGUGAAGAUGUGCUUUCUCCUUUGUCUAGGGUUUACGCUCUCCAGUUUAGAUUGAAUUCAUGUGGUAUCCUGGGUUGUUCAUUGUUGUAAUGUUUUACUUUGUUCGGAAAUUGAUGCUAUUGUCAUUCAACUCUCUGAGUGACACAUCAACACAGCCUUCUUUGAGUGCCAAGCAAUAUGGAUUACAGAGUAAACACAGUGCAGAAACCACAAGUUCUCAAGCCUGCAAAUCACGAUUAGUUCAGCAAGAAUCCAGGACACUGAAGGAAAGAUGAAGAGAAACAACCCUUCAAAAGUGAAGAAGGAGCAAUUAUCACCUCUAUAUAUUUUGAAUCAUACUCUAGGAAAUGUUAGAAUAAAAGAUGAAAAUUGAAGACUAUCUCUUUGUGCAAUUAAUCUUUAUGGAAAUGACCUCCACUGAUCAAAGGUAUUGGAAGUUAAAGGUUUUCCGCUAAGUUUGGAGCUGAAGAAAAAAGCUGACAGUUGAAAUGACCAACUUCACCUUAAGUGUAUUGAGUAAAAUGAUUUUGUAUGAAGCUUAAAAUAAAAACAAACCUGCUUUGCCCCCAAAUUUGGUUAUCUUUCUCUGCAAUGCUGUAAGAAAUCAUACUGUGUUGAGAAUGAUAUUGUUGCAGUAAGAUUUAAUGUUGUUUAUUGAAACUUGGAGUUUAAAAAUUGGAUUAGAUUCACAUUGUUCUGCUUUAGUGAACUUGAUCUGGAAUGUGAUGCCAAUAAAAUUUCUACAAAUACUCACUUAUACUUUCUGAUGUUUUAGUAGAUAAGCCUGGACACACAUUAAUUUUAAUAUAGUACAUAUCAAGUUGUUUCUCUCACUCUUUUCGAAACAAAAGAAUUUAGAUAUGUUUAAGCCC
RNAcentral lists this long non-coding RNA (1506 nucleotides) under Equus caballus (horse). Its description in RNAcentral is "lncRNA (ENSECAG00000037486.3)". The record is from RNAcentral. Lineage: Eukaryota; Metazoa; Chordata; Mammalia; Perissodactyla; Equidae.